UGGAUACUGGAAGGGUGAAAACGGUAUGCAGAGAAACCCUGCAGGGUAUGGCGUUCAGUACAGCUUCCAGGAAAUGUCCAGUGGUGGAGGAGUGAUGAACAUGCCACAUCACAACAUGUCAAUGGUUCGAAGGGAAAAGGAAAGCUUUAGGAAUGAAAGCCGCCAGAUGUCCCGCACACACAGCAUGGCUCGAACAGAAAGGAACCUGUCUGAGCAGAGUUGAUUUAACUCUGGGGAUUUUGCUGUGUACACAAAACACC
RNAcentral lists this long non-coding RNA (260 nucleotides) under Sinocyclocheilus anshuiensis. RNAcentral describes it as "lncRNA (ENSSANG00000040613.1)". Lineage: Eukaryota; Metazoa; Chordata; Actinopteri; Cypriniformes; Cyprinidae. The record is from RNAcentral.